UUAGACUCCAGUACUCUCCGGACGGACCGACUCUAACCCCGCCAUCAUGUCUGAA
Molecule: non-coding RNA, 55 nt
Filed under: Alexandrium tamarense
Lineage: Eukaryota; Dinophyceae; Gonyaulacales; Pyrocystaceae
Source: RNAcentral